UGGGGAAUCUUGGACAAUGGGCGCAAGCCUGAUCCAGCCAUGCCGCGUGAGUGAAGAAGGCCUUCGGGUUGUAAAGCUCUUUUACCAGGGACGAUAAUGACGGUACCUGGAGAAUAAGCCCCGGCAAACUUCGUACCAGCAGCCGCGGUAAUACGAAGGGGGCUAGCGUUGUUCGGAAUUACUGGGCGUAAAGCGCACGUAGGCGGAUUGUUAAGUCAGAGGUGAAAUCCCGGAGCUCAACUUCGGAACUGCCUUUGAUACUGGCAAUCUAGAGUCCGGAAGAGGUUAGUGGAAUUUCCAGUGUAGAGGUGAAAUUCGUAGAUAUUGGGAAGAACACCAGUGGCGAAGGCGGCUAACUGGUCCGGUACUGACGCUGAGGUGCGAAAGCGUGGGGAGCAAACAGGAUUAGAUACCCAUGUAGUCCCUGAGCGGGCUGGCAAGGCGCAU
This 447-nucleotide ribosomal RNA is filed under the name uncultured bacterium. RNAcentral's name for it is "bacterial SSU rRNA". It matches the Rfam family "Bacterial small subunit ribosomal RNA", at positions 355 to 825 of the family's 1533-position model. The record is from RNAcentral.